Molecule: non-coding RNA, 1246 nt
Organism: Elaeis guineensis (African oil palm)
Lineage: Eukaryota; Viridiplantae; Streptophyta; Magnoliopsida; Arecales; Arecaceae
Source: RefSeq, a predicted model, not a curated record
CUCUCUCUCUCUCUCUCUCUCUCUCUCUCUCUAUGUAUGUAUGUAUAUAAAUGCGUAUUUACACGUACAUAUAUAAAAUCAACAUGUGCCAGUGUUGAAUUAUAGAAGAUCCCUAUGUUGGAUUCUUAACACUUGGACACUUGACACCUUUGUCAUGUGUCCAACUAGCAUUGCUGAAACAUGGCUUACCUUAUGAACAUGUUAGUUUUGCUUGGAGUAAAUAAGAGUCAUUGUGACACUAAAGUUACCAACAAAUCCCUUUCAGCUACAGACUCAGUCUACAUUCCGAAUGCAUACCUCUCUUAUAAUCAUGACCAUUUUCAAUUACAAUAUUUAGAGAAGAUACCUUCCCAAAUGAUUUCUAGCAAUUAGGUUCUUACAGUUUUAUCGGUAAUAUAAGUUAUAGAAGGAAGAAUUUUUGGGCUGUCUGUGCUUUGAUUCUCCAUGCAGGAUGCAGUUAUCUAAUUUUAAAACACAUAUGGUAUGUGUGCUCCAUCUUGCUAAUAUCAAUAUUUUAUGUUUGUGGUAAGAUAUUAUAUUUUAUUGUGCAUUCUUGUUUCCCUUCUGAUUUCAGAUGAUUUGUUAUCAGACAUUUUUGUUUUUGUUUUUUGUUGAUUGGUUGUGAGGAUCACUUUCCUUUCUACACGAUGAAAGAUUCAAAUUCAGUGUUUGUUCUAAGUCUCAUUAUUUGUUUUUCCAGCAUUCUUUUAUUUAACAGUCCUGUGUCUCUGCGACCAAAUAAGACCACCAAAAUAAGUUAGGAUUUUAUAAUGGGAAGCCAAAAUUUGAUUUUCGCAAGCAUAUGGUGCAAGCGCUUGAAGCUGAUUUGAGGAAAGUUGCUGGUAUAAGUUGGUAUCUUUGGAUCUUUGUGGUCAUUUCCUUGUUGCUGAAAGUUAAUGGCACUAAAUUGGAGUAUCAUUACUCAGUUGGCUCAUGAGAUUGCUAAAAACAUUCAGCAAUUGAAAGCAAUGCGCUAGUCAAGGCAUCAAAUGAUCACCUCUGGUCCCACCUGUGGAUCUUCCUGUACUUGGUUCACUUCAUACUCUUUUUUCUGUCUUAGAGAUUUCAUUUUGCUUCUGUAUACUGGAAACCGAUACAGAAAGAACAUAAUUUUGGAUCGCUCUGGAGCUCAAUGCAUCAAAAGAUGUGUAUUUAUAUCCACCCAAAAAAGGAAUUUUAAGCACUGAUCAGUUUCUAUAUAAAUUUGCACUCUUUUCUUAAGGAUAUGACAAAACUAGAUCUUUUU